This is a long non-coding RNA of Cygnus olor (mute swan), 1172 nucleotides long. RefSeq lists it as uncharacterized. Lineage: Eukaryota; Metazoa; Chordata; Aves; Anseriformes; Anatidae. The record is from RefSeq and is a predicted model, not a curated record. The transcript is spliced from 3 exons.
UGUAAAUCAGUUCACAUUUAUUCUAGGAUUUGCCCAUACCAAGUAAGAACAAGUUACACUUCUUGCUGUUACCAGUAGGGUACCCAGAAAAGUCCUCUGGAUAAGUUCAAUUUAACAUACAUUUGUUUCCAGGAGAUGUGAAGAAGCCACUUUUCCAGGGCAGCAGUUUUCAAACCAGCAUACUCAAAUGGCAGGUGUUCCCCAGCAGCUUUAGCCAGUUCGGUGCAAAGCACCACAUUUCUACUCCCUGUCUCAACUCGUGGUUUCAAGUACCAACACAAGGCAUAUGAAAUUCUGCUGAGCUUAUGACCUGCUUUUGCAAAAGCUACAGCCUCACACAGAAUAUGCUUUCAUGGUGGCUCACAAAUGUUGAAUUCGGGCUUCUUUUUCUUUCCCGCCCACCCCCAUGCGUAGCUAUACAUUCACAGGGUUGCUCCAAAAGCCAGCAGCUAAGCAGGAUGAACUGCCUGAACAGGCUCCCAGCAGGGGCACCAGCGUCAGCACCAAGUGUAGGGUGCAAACGUGGAGGCAGAGCUUGGAAGCCACGACUGGCUAAGCUGCUGUCUCAGCACACUGCCAGCAAGCCUGGGGAACUGAGCGGCACAGAGGACAGUGAACCAAAUUCAGAGGCAGUAGCACUGGAAGCGCAGUCACAAGUGGAAACAUGGUUGGAAAAUGUGGGCUAGGAGAUACUCACACAAACAUUCAUGCUGCAGUGAGAAAGGCCUACACUACAGUCUGAGGACAGGCCACAGCAAAGGGUGAGAGGGGCAAACAUGCAACCAGCCUGCACUGGUUACUUUAAGCCAUUUGCACUGUGCAUAUGUAGAGGAAUGAACAAAACAAACCAACCAACCAACCAAACAAACAAACAAAAACCACCCUGGCAUCAGUAUAUCUUUAGCAGCAGAAUGUGUCUGGCUGAGGAAGCUGUGGAACAGCAGGUAAUUGCCCAGGGAUUCCUCCUCCCAGAAGGAUUCCUCUCUCUAGUCAUGAGAAUAAAGCUCAAAGCACAGUGUAAACAGCCUUUUACAUUAUAAAUAUUUAUUAAAAAAAAAAAAAAAAAGGAUUACAGAUUCUGAUUGUGGUCCUUGGGGGUAAUCAAGUAGGAGAUAUUCUUUGUGGUAGAAGCAAAUUAGAAAUUCACAAUAUACAGAAAGGAGAAAUAAAAU